RNAcentral lists this ribosomal RNA (425 nucleotides) under uncultured bacterium. Its description in RNAcentral is "partial 16S ribosomal RNA". It matches the Rfam family "Bacterial small subunit ribosomal RNA", at positions 354 to 796 of the family's 1533-position model. The record is from RNAcentral.
GUGGGGAAUCUUGCGCAAUGGGCGAAAGCCUGACGCAGCCAUGCCGCGUGGAUGAUGAAGGUCUUAGGAUUGUAAAAUCCUUUCACCGGUGAAGAUAAUGACUGUAUCCGGAGAAGAAGCCCCGGCUAACUUCGUGCCAGCAGCCGCGGUAAUACGAAGGGGGCUAGCGUUGCUCGGAUUUACUGGGCGUAAAGGGCGCGUAGGCGGACAUUUAAGUCAGGGGUGAAAUCCCGGGGCUCAACCUCGGAACUGCGUUUGAUACUGGGUGUCUUGAGUAUGAGAGAGGUGUGUGGAACUCCGAGUGUAGAGGUGAAAUUCGUAGAUAUUCGGAAGAACACCAGUGGCGAAGGCGACACACUGGCUCAUUACUGACGCUGAGGCGCGAAAGCGUGGGGAGCAAACAGGAUUAGAAACCCGAGUAGUCC